Molecule: ribosomal RNA, 416 nt
Filed under: uncultured Clostridium sp.
Lineage: Bacteria; Bacillati; Bacillota; Clostridia; Eubacteriales; Clostridiaceae
Description: bacterial SSU rRNA
Rfam family: Bacterial small subunit ribosomal RNA
Source: RNAcentral
GAUUUGGCGGACGGGUGAGUAACGCGUGGGCAAUCUGCCCUCUAGCCUGGGAUAACAGUUCGAAAGGACUGCUAACACCGGAUAUGCUCACUAGGGAGACAUCUCCCGGUGAGGAAAGUUUACACUAGAGGAUGAGCCCGCGUCCCAUUAGCUAGUUGGUGAGGUAACGGCCCACCAAGGCGACGAUGGGUAGCCGACCUGAGAGGGUGAUCGGCCACACUGGGACUGAGACACGGCCCAGACUCCUACGGGAGGCAGCAGUAGGGAAUUUUCCGCAAUGGGCGCAAGCCUGACGGAGCAACGCCGCGUGAGGGAUGAAGGUUUUCGGAUCGUAAACCUCUGUCUUCAGGGACGAUAAUGACGGUACCUGAGGAGGAAGCCACGGCUAACUACGUGCCAGCAGCCGCGGUAAUAAU